RNAcentral lists this long non-coding RNA (1704 nucleotides) under Nicotiana tabacum (common tobacco). Its description in RNAcentral is "long non-coding RNA (NTAB_LNC001227)". Lineage: Eukaryota; Viridiplantae; Streptophyta; Magnoliopsida; Solanales; Solanaceae. The record is from RNAcentral.
GGGAAUUACAUAUCAUGACUAUGUCACGGGAACCGUACCUAUAAUCACGAUGAUAUAUUUAAUCGCGCCUAAAGCAAACUACGAUAUUCAUAAAUUCAUUAUCUAUCUAAAUUUGAGGUUAUUGCAAGGCCAUGAAUCAUGGAAGAGAAUUGUUGAAACAAAGAUUUAAUCGUUCUUAUACUGUUACACGUCAAAAUGUUUCCAUGCUUGAGUUAGUGUGGACAAGUCAUGAUGAAGCAUCUACUAAUUUACUUAUUCGAAACUUCAGUUUCACAAAUAAAAAGAGCCGGAUCCAUUAAGCUGUUACUAUAAUAGGAAUGGAAAUAAACAUAAUAACGGACUAUCAUUCUAUUGGGCCCAAACACGAUUCGCGACUCCUAGGACUCUUCUUACGAGAUCUUCUCAAAUCCAUCAGAUUGAUAUACAACAAAUUCACAUCUACUUAUAUUGAUCAUUCAUAAAAAUAUAAAUUGAAAUUUAAACUAAUACUUGCACCCACUUUCACAGUGUCUGUUAAUCAAUCCAAGAUGGAAUAAAGUCUGAAGAACUAAUUGAUAGCUCAAGAUCAUGCAUGAAUCAAACAAAUACAUCUAAGAUCUGUAAGAAGAUUGAACACAUACACGAUUCCUCUCAUGCUAUUGCUAAAACAAUUUUAGUUGAUUUGGAGAAAACACAGUUUUGGACACGAACAAAGCAUUUAAGGCAUAUGGCAGUAUUAUAGCUUAACAAAAUAAAUAAUCAAUUAAACAAAUAAACUUCUGAACAGUCACCUGAGCAACUACAUUGCCAACUAUGGAACGCAUCAUCGUAUGCUUAAAAUUACAAUAUUCAUGUCCCAUUAAAGAAUGCAGCUAUGGUUAAACCUCACUAUGAUCACGAUUCUAAUUGAUACUUAAUGGAUAACAAACCCAAGCAACAAAGAUCCGACGGAGACGCAACUUUGCUCAAGCCUUAAACUGCAAAUCGAACCAACAUGUGGCCAGAUCCAUAAUUAUUGACCUUCAAAUCAAGAAUUAGACUUUAAUUUAUCAGAAAUCAUGAAAGCAAGCUCAGAUUUCAGUAGUUAAUACUCAAAUAUAAGCAGCAAGUAUUUGUCAAUGAUAUAUACAUGUUGAGGUCUAAACAAACAUGUGAAAUCAACUACAAUUCUAGUUAUGAAAUGGCUAUAGAGAUCAGUUGUCCUUAACAUGCAAGUCCAUAGCAGGUUUUAAAUCUUAAACAUAUCGAACUAACAUCCAUUUAUGUUUAAAACAAAACAGACAACAAAUUUACACAAUUACAACAAAUAACUUUAAAGAAUAGCCAACAUUUCAUUGCAAAUCGAAAACAGAAGUACAUGUGUGAGAUGUGUACCUAAAUUCAUAAACAAGCUGAACUUUUUGCCAAAUAAAGGCUAAGAAAAACCAACAUUGGAUUGAUUCAGCAAGAUCAAGCAGCAGUAAACAGAAGAAAAUAGCCUCAAAAUCUCAGCUAAACCAACAGAGUGACAACAACAGAAAUUAAAAAAGAAUAAAAAAAAGAAGAGUAUCCAUUUUUCAGAGAAUUCUGUGUAAAAUCAGUAUCUGUUCUUGAGUGUAUCUGAGAGCACUGCUAAGUGAAUUAACGUGUGUGAGAAUGUGAGGAAGAGUCCCUUUUUAUAGAAUAUGCAUACGCUCUAUGAGGGAAUGAGAUAAGGCCUAGAAAGGAAUGCCUCCUACAAUUUAG